RNAcentral lists this ribosomal RNA (258 nucleotides) under Triticum aestivum (bread wheat). Its description in RNAcentral is "partial small subunit ribosomal RNA". Lineage: Eukaryota; Viridiplantae; Streptophyta; Magnoliopsida; Poales; Poaceae. The record is from RNAcentral.
AUGCCCAGUAUUUACUACAGGCAUAGCCGAACUUGGGGUCAUGAUGAUCACUACCAUAUUGGUGACCAUCAUAGUGCUUCUGAUAUGUGGCAGGUCAACAUCAUUGUCGAUCUAUGCUUUCUCAUCAUCCUCCUAUGCCUGCAGCUAUUUUUCUUUUCUUCAGUUAUAGGGAGUGUAGGAGAUGGUAGUUGGGUUCUUUUGAUAUUUGCGGCUAUAUGUACAGAAGGACUAUGGGACCAAGUUGAAGUACGAAACUGA